This 189-nucleotide ribosomal RNA is filed under the name uncultured bacterium. RNAcentral's name for it is "partial 16S ribosomal RNA". It matches the Rfam family "Bacterial small subunit ribosomal RNA", at positions 118 to 307 of the family's 1533-position model. The record is from RNAcentral.
UGAGCAAUCUGCCCUUCUCUUCGGAAUAAGCGUUGGAAACGACGUCUAAUGCCGAAUACGACCUCCUUUCGCAUGAUCGGAGGUGGAAAGCUCCGGCGGAGAAGGAUGAGCUCGCGGCCUAUCAGCUAGUUGGUGUGGGUAAUGGCCCACCAAGGCGACGACGGGUAGCCGGCCUGAGAGGGUACGCCG